Lepisosteus oculatus (spotted gar) is the source of this 767-nucleotide long non-coding RNA. RefSeq lists it as uncharacterized. Lineage: Eukaryota; Metazoa; Chordata; Actinopteri; Semionotiformes; Lepisosteidae. The record is from RefSeq and is a predicted model, not a curated record.
CACUGAGCCUGGUUCAGAAAAAGACAUCUCCCAUUCAAACCUGGAAAAUGCUGAAAUCUCCCAUUCCAGAAGACCUCCUCGUCCAAGAUACUCAUGGAAUUGAAAGAAAUGUUACAGAAAACGUGUUUUGAUGGAGUGUAACCUUUCAGGCAGCUUUCCAGGAGGACUUCAUUACAGUGCCAUCAGAUUAUUUCUGAUAGAAUGACAAAAGAAGAUGGAUUUUCCUUGAGGCAGGCAGACUGAUGACACAUGUCUGUAUUCAGGUCGAUGCUUCAUUCUGUUCCACAUCCCGGACUGAGUCAGCUGUUGUUAGUCUACUGGUGAUUUGCAGGAGUAACUGCAACUUCUCCUCAGCCCACCUCAAGGACACAUACUCUGACACUGUCUUGAGAAGGGUGAAGGCGUCCAAGCCACUACUGACAGGCUCAGGUCUGUUUGACAGAGUGGCAGAUCCCUGUUGCUAUGGGAGGGAAUGUCACCUGCUGAAGAUGAGUAGGGGGUGGGCUUUCUUGAAAUGGUCAGUAAAGGGUUUACAGAGCCAGGUCUCUCAUCUGUGUCAAUGAGCGGAUGUUGCCAUGUUCUAAAACGCAGCAAUACAGUUGGCAUUUGACAUUAAGCUCAGUGAGGUCACAGGAAAGAGGUCACCAGCUGACAAUGAAAUAUUUAGUUGCUUUUCCAAUCCUACAGUGUUUCUGAAGUGCUGUUGUGUGUGUCCUAACCGGGUGUUGUACACAAAUCAUGAAUACAAAGAAACAGGUUUCAUGUCA